RNAcentral lists this ribosomal RNA (417 nucleotides) under uncultured bacterium. RNAcentral describes it as "partial 16S ribosomal RNA". It matches the Rfam family "Bacterial small subunit ribosomal RNA", at positions 360 to 774 of the family's 1533-position model. The record is from RNAcentral.
AAUAUUGGUCAAUGGAGGCAACUCUGAACCAGCCAUGCCGCGUGCAGGCUGACGGUCCUAUGGAUUGUAAACUGCUUUUGUACAGGAAGAAAAAGAGUUACGUGUAGCUUAUUGACGGUACUGUAAGAAUAAGUACCGGCUAACUUCGUGCCAGAAGCCGCGGUAAUACGAAGGGUGCAAGCGUUAACCGGAAUUACUGGGCGUAAAGCGCGCGCAGGUAGCUCAUUACGCCCGGCGUGAAAGCCCCCGGCCUAACCGGGGAGGGUCGUCGGGGACGGAUGAGCUUGAGGGUAUCAGGGGCUGGUGGAAUUCCCGGUGUAGUGGUGAAAUGCGUAGAGAUCGGGAGGAACACCCGUGGCGAAGGCGGCCAGCUGGGAUACACCUGACACUGAGGCGCGAAGGCGUGGGGAGCGAACG